This 1021-nucleotide long non-coding RNA is filed under the name Nicotiana tabacum (common tobacco). RNAcentral describes it as "long non-coding RNA (NTAB_LNC005619)". The record is from RNAcentral. Lineage: Eukaryota; Viridiplantae; Streptophyta; Magnoliopsida; Solanales; Solanaceae.
GGAAUCAGACCCUAAAACCCUCUGAAGAUCCAGCUCUCUUGUUCCAUCAGCUCUUUUAUUUUUGCUCUUCACUCGAAGUUUGGAGCAGUUUUUUUUCUUUGGAUUUUCUAGGUUCUCGAGCUGAAAUAUGACUUGAUAUUGAAGCUGUGUGUUGUUUCUUUGUUGUUGUAACCAGUAGCUGAGCCCAUUCGUUUAUUUUUAUGCUUCUAUUUGAUCCUUUCCCGUUAUUUCUGCUUUUAGGUAUGUAAACCCUCAGCUAUCCAAUUCUAUUUAGAGUUAAUGAAAUGAAAAUAUGAUCUUCUUCAUGAUACAUUUGUGUUUGAUUACUUAAGAUUAGAAUGUUUACUUGUUAAAGAUGGUUUUAAUUUCUGAUUUGGUAUGCAAUAUGAGAAUCAAGUCUUUUCAGUGUUAUUUGUUUGGCAUUCAGUGCUAUUUCGAGUUUGCUCACACCUAUUCUACCUCAUCUUGUUAAUAAUGGUUCAUGCUCGUAAGGUGGCGUUAAUUUCUGGUUUGUUAUGCAAUAUUUGAGUAAAGUCUUUUCAGUGUUAUUUUGAGUUUGCUCACACCUGUUUUAUCUCGCUUUGUUAAUAAGGAUUCAUGUUCAUAAGGUGAUUUAAGGGGUGGUCCACCUGUGAGACUGAUCACCAGUUGGUCAGAUUCUUUUCGGAGGAAGCCCAGCUCAAUAAGUUCUAAACACAGAAGUUCAAAAAUGAUAAAUUCCAUCAUUGUCACAUGAAUGUGAGUGCUAAUUAUAUAGAUUAGCUCUAUAAUUUUGAAGGUUUCAGAUGAUAAACAAUUGCUGAGAUUGAUAGAAUUAUUAAUGUAAUAAAAUUCGAUUUCUUAGAACUUGAUUUUUUUGAAAUAGUUUGUUAUCGGUAUCAAUCACCUUUGUAAUAGUGUGAAUCAUUUUAAUUUCAUGUCUAAAGUUGUAUGAAACAAGCUUUGGUAGUUUUUUUUUGUAAUCCAAGCCAAUCAAAUUGGGCCUAAGGGUCACGAUGGCAAGAUUAGUCUGGUCAAUGAG